UGUGGUUCUUCGCGGACGUCCCGCACUGCAUGAAGAACCUCCGCAACCAUAUUCUGGACGAUGGCCUGCACCUUUCUCGGGGAGAUGACCGAGGCGAGCCGGUGGUUGAUGCCGAUCUGCUGGAGGAGACGGUGAAGGUCGUCUCCACUCCCGAGUUCACCGUGGGCAGGAAACUCCCACCUCUGCACGUGCAUGCCUCCAAAGCAGACAGGCAGCGCGCGUAUACUUGGCAACGCAACUGCUCAGUGACGGUCAGUGACCUGCCGUGACGGUCGCACGCCGCUGUACCUGGCCGUACUGCAGCCCACCCGGAGCUGGCGGCCGCCCUGCCGUGACGGUCGCACGCCGCUGUACCUGGCCGUACUGCAGCCCACCCGGAGCUGGUGUCGCAGAUGCCAAGCUGCGAGAUGACGGGGGUUAUCGGCCGUCGUCCAAACGGUGUGCGCGGGCCCUCAUCUUGUCCGACGGCGCGCCCACUUCGCGACUGGCUCCGACCUCGCUUGGCGUUGGUACAAGAGCUGCCGGGAGUCGCCCUGCGUCCUCGGCGGGGAGCCGAGAUUCCGGGCGGGCCGACUCCAACGUUUCCACACGAUAUCGCUUUGAUAGCCAGGUUUCUUUCAAUGGUUAUUUCUGUAAUCGGUCACGAGGCGAAUCCUCGUUGAGCCUAAUUUGUUCUCCAGUCUGCCAAGUCUGGUUUGCUUUGUUGAUGCUGUACUACAUGCUGUACACAUGCUGUACCACAUGCUGUACUAUUAAAGGGUGUCAAAUAAAAAAACGAGUUAUGCUCAGGGCUGCGGAGUCGGAGUCUGAGUCGGUCGGAGUCGACAGUUGUGACCGGAGUCGGAGUCGGAGUCGGAGUCGAUUUUAGAAACCCGAGCCGGAG
Molecule: long non-coding RNA, 883 nt
Organism: Amphibalanus amphitrite
Lineage: Eukaryota; Metazoa; Arthropoda; Thecostraca; Balanomorpha; Balanidae
Exons: 3
Source: RefSeq, a predicted model, not a curated record